GAUGAACGCUGGCGGCGUGCCUAAUACAUGCAAGUCGAGCGAACAGACGAGGAGCUUGCUCCUCUGACGUUAGCGGCGGACGGGUGAGUAACACGUGGAUAACCUACCUAUAAGACUGGGAUAACUUCGGGAAACCGGAGCUAAUACCGGAUAAUAUAUUGAACCGCAUAGUUCAAUAGUGAAAGACGGUUUUGCUGUCACUUAUAGAUGGAUCCGCGCCGCAUUAGCUAGUUGGUAAGGUAACGGCUUACCAAGGCGACGAUGCGUAGCCGACCUGAGAGGGUGAUCGGCCACACUGGAACUGAGACACGGUCCAGACUCCUACGGGGGGCAGCAGUAGGGAAUCUUCCGCAAUGGGCGAAAGCCUGACGGAGCAACGCCGCGUGAGUGAUGAAGGUCUUCGGAUCGUAAAACUCUGUUAUUAGGGAAGAACAAAUGUGUAAGUAACUAUGCACGUCUUGACGGUACCUAAUCAGAAAGCCACGGCUAACUACGUG
RNAcentral lists this ribosomal RNA (497 nucleotides) under uncultured bacterium. RNAcentral describes it as "partial 16S ribosomal RNA". It matches the Rfam family "Bacterial small subunit ribosomal RNA", at positions 28 to 507 of the family's 1533-position model. The record is from RNAcentral.